Molecule: ribosomal RNA, 493 nt
Filed under: uncultured bacterium
Lineage: Bacteria
Description: bacterial SSU rRNA
Rfam family: Bacterial small subunit ribosomal RNA
Source: RNAcentral
AUUGAACGCUGGCGGCGUGCCUAACACAUGCAAGUCGAGCGGUAACAGGUGUAGCAAUACAUGCUGACGAGCGGCGAACGGGUGAGUAAUGCUUCGGAAUCUACCCAAUGGUGGGGAAUAACCAGCCGAAAGGUUGGCUAAUACCGCAUACGUCCUACGGGAGAAAGCAGGGGAUCGUAAGACCUUGCGCCAAUGGAUGAGCCGAAGUCGGAUUAGCUAGUUGGAGGGUAACGGCCUACCAAGGCGACGAUCCGUAGCUGGUCUGAGAGGACGACCAGCCACACUGGGACUGAGACACGGCCCAGACUCCUACGGGAGGCAGCAGUGGGGAAUAUUGGACAAUGGGGGAAACCCUGAUCCAGCGACGCCGCGUGUGUGAAGAAGGCCUGCGGGUUGUAAAGCACUUUUAGUGGGGAUGAAAAGUUCAGGGCUAAUACCCCUGGAUCUUGACCUAACCCACAGAAAAGCACCGGCUAACUCUGUGCCAGCAGCA